UACGAAGGGGGCUAGCGUUGCUCGGAAUCACUGGGCGUAAAGCGCACGUAGGUGGGUCGUUAAGUCGGGGGUGAAAUCCUGGAGCUCAACUCCAGAACUGCCUUCGAUACUGGCGAUCUUGAGUCCGGAACAGGUGAGUGGAACUCCUAGUGUAGAGGUGGAAUUCGUAGAUAUUAGGAAGAACACCAGUGGCGAAGGCGGCUCACUGGUCCGGUACUGACGCUGAGGUGCGAAAGCGUGGGGAGCAAACAGG
This 253-nucleotide ribosomal RNA is filed under the name uncultured bacterium. Its description in RNAcentral is "partial 16S ribosomal RNA". It matches the Rfam family "Bacterial small subunit ribosomal RNA", at positions 524 to 776 of the family's 1533-position model. The record is from RNAcentral.